RNAcentral lists this ribosomal RNA (491 nucleotides) under uncultured bacterium. RNAcentral's name for it is "partial 16S ribosomal RNA". It matches the Rfam family "Bacterial small subunit ribosomal RNA", at positions 29 to 506 of the family's 1533-position model. The record is from RNAcentral.
AGUGAACGCUGGCGGUAGGCCUAACACAUGCAAGUCGAACGGCAGCACAGUAAGAGCUUGCUCUUACGGGUGGCGAGUGGCGGACGGGUGAGGAAUACAUCGGAAUCUACUUUUUCGUGGGGGAUAACGUAGGGAAACUUACGCUAAUACCGCAUACGACCUACGGGUGAAAGCAGGGGAUCUUCGGACCUUGCGCGAUUGAAUGAGCCGAUGUCGGAUUAGCUAGUUGGCGGGGUAAAGGCCCACCAAGGCGACGAUCCGUAGCUGGUCUGAGAGGAUGAUCAGCCAAACUGGAACUGAGACACGGUCCAGACUCCUACGGGAGGCAGCAGUGGGGAAUAUUGGACAAUGGGCGCAAGCCUGAUCCAGCCAUACCGCGUGGGUGAAGAAGGCCUUCGGGUUGUAAAGCCCUUUUGUUGGGAAAGAAAAGCAGCAGGUUAAUACCCCGCUGUUCUGACGGUACCCAAAGAAUAAGCACCGGCUAACUGCGU